Molecule: unclassified non-coding RNA, 145 nt
Filed under: uncultured Mortierella
Lineage: Eukaryota; Fungi; Mortierellomycota; Mortierellomycetes; Mortierellales; Mortierellaceae
Description: sequence contains ITS1
Source: RNAcentral
UAAUAAAAGUGAAAUAAUUAUAUGGCACUUUUAAAACAAUCCAUAUCCACCUUGUGUGCAAUGUUUUUUCUUUUUUUAUAUCAACUCUUUUUUAAAUACCAAAUUAUCUGAAAUUAUUUUAUGAAUUUUACUUAAUUCAAAAAUA